AUGACUACUCUUAAAAGUUGAGAAACCAAAGUCGCCCUUACUUCAUCCCCAAACUGAGGAGCCACCUAAAUCUGUUGAAGUUCCCUCUGGGGUCCAAUCCAGAAGCCAUCAUAGCCUUCAGGGUCCAUGGAAGAAAGCAGUUCCAUUACAGAGAGCCCAGGAGUUCAGCCAGGGAAAAUGCUCACUGAAAAGCAGUAGAAGUGGAAGCUGUAAGAAUAUUAGAAUAACACAUGAUAGCUCCAACAAAAUUAUGAUGUCUCUGGGACAUCAUAAAGGAGAAUUCCUUAGUCAGAGGGAGUUUACAGAACCUAAUAAGGAACUCUCAGAGUAAAGAAUGUAUUGAAAAGCUCAAGAAUUAUGAAAGAAGGUUACUACAGGACAAAGAAGGUCUUUGAAACCAGCUCUGUAUACAGAAGGAGGUAAAUCAUGAGAUUAAAAAGUUGCUGAUGGCUUCUGUUGGGGAUGAUCUUCAGUAUCACUUUGAAUGUCUAGUCCUUGAGAAAAAUCAGCUUAUUUUAGAAAAUGAAGCCCUAGGUUGAAAUACAGCUCAGCUUUCCAAACAGAACGUAUGUCAAUACAGUGUGAUACAUGGCAAAGUAAAUUCCUUGCAAGCAGGGUAAUGGCAGAUGAGUUAACCAACGUCAAAAACGUGAUGCACGUGGGGCCAUACAGGAUCUCCUAAGUGAAUGGGAACAGUUUCUUCAGGAAAUGAUAGCUACCCAGAAAUUAUUGGAGGAGCUCUUAGUCUCCUUGCAGUGGGGAAGAGGGCAACUUUACUCCCCUAAUGUACAACCCCACAGCACAGCAGAGCUGGCAUUAACAAAUCACAAGUUGGCAAAAGCAGCAAAUUCUCAUCUUCUGCGAAACGUUGGCAUUAACUAUCAAAAAAAGAUUCCAUCGACAGUUGAAUUCUGCAGCACCCCAGCUGAGAAAAUGGCUGAAAUGGUUCUAUAAACUUUAGAUCCAACUACCUAUACAGAGAGCUCACCUGAUAAUCCAUGUUUUGAGUUUUCACCAACCACCUUACUUGCUGCAAAGAAAAAUUCUGGAUGAUUUCAUCCCUAGGCUAGAUAUGAAAAUAUAACUUUCAAUUUCUGCAGUCACUGCCAGGGAGAACUUACUGCCCUUUA
Molecule: long non-coding RNA, 1130 nt
Filed under: Homo sapiens (human)
Lineage: Eukaryota; Metazoa; Chordata; Mammalia; Primates; Hominidae
Description: non-protein coding lnc-ACTN1-1:1
Source: RNAcentral